This 254-nucleotide ribosomal RNA is filed under the name uncultured bacterium. RNAcentral's name for it is "partial 16S ribosomal RNA". It matches the Rfam family "Bacterial small subunit ribosomal RNA", at positions 524 to 776 of the family's 1533-position model. The record is from RNAcentral.
UACGUAGGGUGCGAGCGUUGUCCGGAAUUAUUGGGCGUAAAGAGCUCGUAGGCGGUCUGUCGCGUCUGCUGUGAAAACUCGGGGCUUAACCCCGGGCCUGCAGUGGGUACGGGCAGGCUAGAGUUCGGGUAGGGGAGACUGGAAUUCCUGGUGUAGCGGUGAAAUGCGCAGAUAUCAGGAGGAACACCGGUGGCGAAGGCGGGUCUCUGGGCCGAUACUGACGCUGAGGAGCGAAAGCGUGGGGAGCGAACAGG